Molecule: ribosomal RNA, 476 nt
Filed under: uncultured bacterium
Lineage: Bacteria
Description: partial 16S ribosomal RNA
Rfam family: Bacterial small subunit ribosomal RNA
Source: RNAcentral
AAUGAACGUUGGCGGCGUGGAUUAGGCAUGCAAGUCGAGCGGGUGUAGCAAUACACCAGCGGCGAAAGGGAGAGUAAUACGUGGAUACCUACCCUCGGGCCUGGGAUAGCUUCGGGAAACUGAAGGUAAUACCAGAUAACGUCCCCGGACCAAAGGUGUGAUUCCGUCCGAGGAGGGGUCCGCGGCCUAUUAGCUAGUUGGUGAGGUAACGGCCCACCAAGGCGAAGAUGGGUACGAGGCGUGAGAGCGUGUCCUCGCUCACUGGGACUGAGACACUGCCCAGACACCUACGGGUGGCCGCAGUCGAGAAUCUUCGGCAAUGGGCGCAAGCCUGACCGAGCGACGCCGCGUGCGGGAUGAAGGCCUUCGGGUUGUAAACCGCUGUCAGUAGGGAGGAAUGGUUUGGGGGUUCUCCCCCAGAUUUGACCUAUCCGCAGAGGAAGGACGGGCUAAGUUCGUGCCAGCCGCCGCCGUAA